UAAGUAAGGUGUGAAAUAGUACGGCUCAACCGUAUAAACAUACUUUAAACUGAUGAGCUAGAGGAUGAGAGAGGUUAUUGGAAUUUCUUGUGUAGGAGUGAAAUCCGUAGAUAUAAGAAGGAACACCGAUGGCGUAGGCAGAUAACUGGCUCAUUCCUGACGCUCAGACACGAAAGCGUGGGUAGCAAACGGGAUUAGAUACCCCGGUAGUCCACGCUGUAAACGAUGGAUGCUA
RNAcentral lists this ribosomal RNA (235 nucleotides) under uncultured Candidatus Saccharibacteria bacterium. Its description in RNAcentral is "partial 16S ribosomal RNA". It matches the Rfam family "Bacterial small subunit ribosomal RNA", at positions 584 to 818 of the family's 1533-position model. The record is from RNAcentral. Lineage: Bacteria; Candidatus Saccharimonadota.